This 807-nucleotide long non-coding RNA is filed under the name Cinara cedri. The record is from RNAcentral. Lineage: Eukaryota; Metazoa; Arthropoda; Insecta; Hemiptera; Aphididae.
AUUAGUAAAAAAAAACACAAAAACAUUAUUUGUGUUAAGAAAUUAUGAUUUUCAAUUUUUCAUCAAUUUGUGUGGAAUUGCUUCCAAGUAAGUUAUUUAACAUACUAGUAUUAGACUACAUACACUCAUUACCUAUUACAACAUGAACGUUUUAAAUGUUUCGUUUUUUUUUUAGCUGUUGUUAUAGGUAAUAUAGAUUGGAUUGUCCAUCAGUCUUUCCGAAUGUUUACAAUAGAUGACCCAUGUAAUAUAUUUAGUAUUACAUAAACAUUUAAAAUUUUUCAUUUAUUAAUUAAUUUUAAAAUUAUUGUAGAUUGAUAAUAAGAGUGUGUGGCGGCUGAUCUGGCGUCCACCCACUUGAUGGUAGGUGAUUUCAUAUGGUUUGAUUGGAGGUUCAUUCAUAGAGCACAUUUGAAUCUGAAUGGUGCUGGAGAGACCGUGACUGCCACUGAAUGUGCCGGUGAUGUGGGUAUACAGCAUAAAGCCUUCCUACCUCAUCGAUCUCUGUUUGUAGUAAACUGCGCACUACAUGGUUUUACAUCUACUUAUCCAGAGAUGUGUACACUGAGUACAUAAUGGGGGUGCAACAGAGACCUAAGUAAGUUCCCUUUCUCAUUUGUACUUGUUUCCAUGUCUGCGAAUAGUCGCCUAUUAGUAUUGUUUUUUUUUACACCUGUUUAUUUUUACUAUAUUUAUAAAUUUUGAUUUUGUUACCAAAUUUGUGUACUGUGAAUUUUAUGUUGACUUUUGUUUUCUACUAUUCAUGACUUUUGCCUUAUUUUGCCUAAUUAUACUGUUUACUGGAAU